Molecule: long non-coding RNA, 160 nt
Organism: Maniola jurtina (meadow brown)
Lineage: Eukaryota; Metazoa; Arthropoda; Insecta; Lepidoptera; Nymphalidae
Exons: 3
Source: RefSeq, a predicted model, not a curated record
ACUGAAAUGCAAAUGCGUGAAUGCGAAUGGAUGUGUGGUGUGACAAGAAUGGAUAUGAUAAGGAAUGAAUAUAUAAGAGGAAGUUUAAAAGUAGCACCAGUGGUAGAAAAAAUGAGGAUUAAUAGGCUGGCAUGGUAUGGGCAUGUAAUGCGGAGGGAAG